Molecule: long non-coding RNA, 4686 nt
Organism: Salmo trutta (river trout)
Lineage: Eukaryota; Metazoa; Chordata; Actinopteri; Salmoniformes; Salmonidae
Source: Ensembl
AUACAACACUAAGGAUGAAAUCUGCUGCAACGGACACAACUGUCCACCUUCUUGAAAAUUCCCCGUCAGAAGAAGCGUGGGUGGAUUUUGGAAAUCAUGCGCUUCAUUGGCCAGCAUGCAUCCUGGUGACCACGUCUGGCUCUCCACCAGAAACCUCCUGCUCCGCCUGCCCUGUAAGAAAACCUGAGUCCCCUGUUUGUGGGGCCGUUCUAGGUCCUCUGGAAGGUCAUUUACAGAUUACAACUCCCCAAUAACUACCGGAUCUCACCAUCUUUUCAUGUUUUCCUCCACAGGCCGGUGGUUCCUGGUCCACUGGCUGAUUCCGUCUCCCACGACAUCCCUUCGCCUCCCUUGGACAUCGAGUGAAGCCCCGUCCAUACAGUCAGAUCCCUCCUGGACUCCCGAAUUUGUGGGGGUCGGCUCCAGGAAAGUGUACGGUCCAGAGGAGUGGUGUUGGUUUCGGUGGAUGACAUUCUAGAUCCCGACAUCAUCUGGGGGGGGGGGGUUGGAGGGCACUGUCACGUCUACUCCUGCUCACUGACUGGUAGACGUUGUGCCGGUUUACUAACCACAGGACCUGGAAACCCAUUUUUACUCACACCUGGCAACCCUCAUUACACACACCUGCGUCUCAUCAUCAGUCACACUUGGACUUCAUAACUCAUCCUUUAUAUAGUACCCUUCUGUUAGUAGUCGUCAGGUAGUAAUGUUUAUGUUUCCAUGUCAUGUUUUGUGUCGUUCCAUGUUCAUUAUUAUUAAACUCACUAACUGCACUUGUUUCGACUCCCUGCACCUACGUUACAGAUAAAUUUGUAUGUUUUAAAACUACAACACCGUCACCUGUUUUGUAUACAACUGAAGGAUGGGGCUGGGAAAAUGCAAUCCCUCUCAAAUUUAUAGACAGCUCGCUAGAUGCAGGGACUGACAGUCCAUGACGUUCAAGAGAUGGCAAAAGCAUGUGUUAUAACAUUCUAACACCUGUGUGUAACGCAUUUUGACUGUAUCUGUAAACGUUAAGGCAUUUAUAAAAGCUGCUACCUUGAACUGUUAUGAAUGCUUUAAGUGCGUCUAAGGAUGCAUAUGGGGUGAUAAUAGGCAGUAGGUGAAGUCAAGAUGCAGUAAAAUACAUGGGUGGCUCGUAAAGUGUUUACCACUCGUUUUUUUCUCAGAAAUAGCUGAUAGUAGCAUAGUCUCUUGACAUUUAAAAAAAAUGUAGUAGUUACUUGUAAUUACUUGCACCAAUUAUAAAAAUUCAAAAAAAUCAAACUGCAACUGGAAAGGUAGAUCCAAGCAAUACAAUGACUCAUACAACAUAUUAAUGACUGAGAUGGGGUCCCAUAUGGGAUAUUUUGGGUUAGCUAGGCAAUUGGAUAUUGUUGUCAAGGGUGGUUCUUGUAGAUGUGGCUGAAAUGGAAUACUUAUAGUGCAUUUGAAAAAUAUUCAGACGCCUUGAUAUUUUCCACAUUUUGUUACGUUCCAGCAUUAUUCUAAAAUUGAUUAAAAAAAACAUUUUCCCUCAUCAAUCUACACACAAUACUCCAAAUUUGAUCAAAUGUAUAAAAAUUUAAAAAACGGAAUAUCACAUUUACGUUAGUAUUCAGACCCUUUGACUGUGAUUAAAGCCUUGAGUGUUCUUCGGUAUGAUGCUAUCAGCUUAGCACACCUGUAUUUGGGGAGUCUCCCAUUCUUGUCUUCAGAUCUUCUCUGUCAUGUUGAAUGGGGAGCAUCGCUGCACAGCUGUUUUCAGGUCUCUCCAGAGAUGUUCGAUCAGGUUCAAGUCAGGGCUCUGGCAGGGCCACUCAAGGACAUUCAGAGACUUGUCCCGAAGUCACUCCUGCUUUGUCUUGGCUGAGUGCUUAGGGUUGUUGUCCUGUUGGAAGGCGAACCUUCGCACCAGUCUGAGGUCCUGAGCACUUGGGAGCAGGUUUUCAUCAAGGAACUCUGUACCUUGCUCCGUUCAACAUUCCAUCGAUCCACACUAGUCUCCCAGUCCCUGCCGCUGAAUAACAUCCUCACAGCAUGAUGCUGCCACCAACAUUCUUCACCUUAAUGAUGGUGCCGGGUUUCCUUCAGACAUGCCGCUUGGCAUUCAGGCCAAAGAGUUCAAUCUUGGUUUCAUCAGACCAGAGAAUCUUGUUUCUCAUGGUCUGAGAGUCCUUUAGGUGCCUUUUGGCAAACUCCAAGCGGGCUAUCAUGUGCCUUUUACUGAGGAGUAGCUUCCAUCUGGCCACUCUACCAUAAAGGCCUGAUUGGUGGAGUGCUGCAGAGAUGGUUGUUCUUCUGGAUGGUUCUCCCAUCUCCACAAAGAAACUCUAGAGCUCUGUCAGAGUGGCCAUUGGGUUCUUGGUCACCUCCCUGUCCAAGGCCCUUGUCCCCCAAUUGCUCAAUUUGGCCAGACAGCCAGCUCUAGGAAGUGUCUCUGUGGUUCCAAACUUCUUCCAUUUAAGAACGAUGGAAGCCACUGUGUUGUUGCUGCAGAAAAUGUUUUGGUACCCUUCCCCAGAUCUGUGCCUCGACACAAUCCUGUCUCAGAGCUCUACAGAAAAUUCCUUAGACCUCAUUUAAACAUUUUAUUUAACUAGGCAAGUCAGUUAAGAACAAAUUAUUAUUAACAAUGAUAGCCUACACUGGCCAAACCAAGACGACACUGGGCCAAUUGUGCACCGCCCUAUGGGACUCCCAAUCAUAGCUGGUUGGGAUACAGCCUGGAUUUGAACCAGGGUGUCUGUAGUGACACCUCUAGCACUGAGAUGCAGUGCCUUAGACCACUGCGCCACUCAGGAGCCCUCAUGGCUUAGCUUUAGUUCUGACAUGUACUGUCAACUGUGUGCCUUUCCAAAUCAUGUCCAAUCAAUUGAAUUUACCACAGGUGGACUCCAGUCAAGUUGUCAUUAUGCUGUAUUGUGUGGAAAAAACAAAUGUAGUACAUUUUAGAAUAAGGCUGUAACGUAACAAAAUGUGGAAAAAGUCAAGGGGUCUGAAUACUUUCAGGAUGCACUUCAUGUUAGUUCAUCUUAGUCUUUCAUGUAUGAAUGAGACCACUUUAUUGAGAGUCACCAUGACCACUCCGCUACUGAUGUUUGGUACAGUAUGUGACCAUCCCUAUCAAACUCUGCACAUUUGCUAGAAUAUGUCUGUAUAAUCCCUGACUCCCUUUCCUGAACUUUUUUUUUCUUCAUUUGUGCAGUUCCACUGACUCCACUCUGCUACAGUGCAAUAUAAUCUCUUUGCAUCUGUCUGUGCUUCCAAGAUGGCGUAGCAGUCGGACGUGUGGCCAUCCAUCUGGACACCUGCCAGCCUCAGCUCGGUCAAUACCUGCAAGUCUGCACGAUAUCAACCCAGAGCAUAUCAGACUGCUUUUUCUCUACCACAUCUCCGGAUUCCUACCGCAAGCUCUGAACCUUUACACCGGAUGAUUGCAGCUAGCUAGCUGCAAUCCGAGUGGCUACUCCUGGCUAACGUCUCUGUCCCGAAGCAAGCACCAGUUAGCCUUGAGCUAGCCUCGAGCUAGGCCCAUCUCCCGGCUUGCCGAAGAGGUCCACCACAUAAUUCUUGGGCUACAAUACCUCUUUUGCCAAUUGGCCUGGACCCUUUACUCCCGACACGGAACCACGCCGAUCCAUCCCGACUGGUCUGCCAACGUGAUCGUCCAAGGUGGUUUAAACAGGCUCUUCUGUUGCGACAUCGCCGAAGGCCCAUCUGCUAGCCUCGGCCUGCUAGCUGUCUGAAUCGCCGUGUUUCCAGCUCGCCUAGCGUAGUAGCAACUACUGGAUCGGCUCCCUGACUCACCUAUUGCUACUCAUUGGACCCUAUGAUCACUUGGCAACACAUGCCUCUCCCUAAUGUCAAUAUGCCUUGUCUAUUGCUGUUUGGGUUAGUGAUUAUUGUCUUAUUUCACUGUAGAGCCCCCAGCUCUGCCCAAAAUGCCUUAGCCCUUUUGUCCCACCCCCCACACAUGGGGUGACCUCACCUGGCUUAACUGGUGCCUCUAGAGACAAAACCUCUCUCAUCGUCACUCAAUGCCUAGGUUUACCUCCACUGUACUCACAUCCUACCAUACCCUUGUCUGUACAUUAUGCCUUGAAUCUAUUCUUCCACGUCCAGAAAUCUGCUACUUUUACUCUCUGUUCUGAAUGCACUAGACGACCAGUUCUUAUAGCCUUUAGCCGUACCCUUAUCCUACUCCUCCUCUGUUCCUCUGGUGAUGUAGAGGUUAACCCAGGCCCUGCAGCCCCCAGCACCACUCCCAUUCCCCAGGCACUCUCAUUUGUUGACUUCUGUAACCGUAAAAGCCUUGGUUGCAUGCAUGUUAACAUCAGAAGCCUCCUCCCUAAGUUUGUUUUAUUCACUGCUUUAGCACACCGCCAACCCUGAUGUCCUAGCCGUGUCUGAAUCCUGGCUUAGAAAGGCCACCAAAAAUCCUGAAAUAUCCAUCCCCAACUACAACAUUUUCCGACAAGACAGAACUGCCAAAGGGGGCGGAGUUGCAAUCUACUGCAGAGAUAGCCUGCAGAGUUCUGUCAUACUAUCCAGGUCUGUGCCCAAACAAUUCGAGCUUCUACUUCUUUCCAGAAACAAGUCUGUUACCAUUGUCUCUUGUUAUAGACCCCCCUCAGCCCGCAGCUGUGCCAUAGACACCAUAUGUGAAUUGAUUUCCCCCCCAUCUAUCUUCAGAGUUUGUACUGU